RNAcentral lists this ribosomal RNA (237 nucleotides) under Enterococcus faecium. Its description in RNAcentral is "partial 16S ribosomal RNA". It matches the Rfam family "Bacterial small subunit ribosomal RNA", at positions 1 to 216 of the family's 1533-position model. The record is from RNAcentral. Lineage: Bacteria; Bacillati; Bacillota; Bacilli; Lactobacillales; Enterococcaceae.
UUUUAUGAGAGUUUGAUCCUGGCUCAGGACGAACGCUGGCGGCGUGCCUAAUACAUGCAAGUCGUACGCUUCUUUUUCCACCGGAGCUUGCUCCACCGGAAAAAGAGGAGUGGCGAACGGGUGAGUAACACGUGGGUAACCUGCCCAUCAGAAGGGGAUAACACUUGGAAACAGGUGCUAAUACCGUAUAACAAUCGAAACCGCAUGGUUUUGAUUUGAAAGGCGCUUUCGGGUGUC